RNAcentral lists this long non-coding RNA (312 nucleotides) under Nicotiana benthamiana. RNAcentral describes it as "long non-coding RNA (NBEN_LNC036386)". The record is from RNAcentral. Lineage: Eukaryota; Viridiplantae; Streptophyta; Magnoliopsida; Solanales; Solanaceae.
CAUUAUAAGUACAAAUCUGGCCAUAAAGGCCCAAAGUGAAUGGCCAAUACCCUCAUCCCAUAACCCCAAUAACCUAAUAAACUUAGGGUCUUCUUCUUCUUCUUCAGACCGGGAACACCUUAAGAACCCUAGAGAAGGAGAGCCCUAGCUGUCACCUUCACCAAGAGACCCGUCACUGCUGUUCUUCUUAUUCAACCGCCCACCAGCUUCUUACCAACCACACGCACACAGACAUCCAAACGACCACCCUCAUCUCCUCCAUACUAAAGUAACACAAAAACACACACACUCCAAUUCCAGCGGAGACCCCUG